UGGAGGUGGUCGGGCCAGGACUCGUCGUGUGGGUCCAGGGCUGGGGAAAGACACCAGCGGGUAUGAUAUGCUCGGCUCCGUGGAGGAUGCAUCCAUCUGUAGCAAAGCUGUAAAAGGAGGGGCUUUGAUCGGAUCUGUUUUAUGAAGCGUAAUCUGAGGGUGACAGAGUGACUUUGGGGAAAGAGGCCGGCUUAAAAAUGAUUACAAGAGUCUGCACAAGCAUAACAGGCAGUGACCAGGAGAAUGAGAUGUUCCAGGUGGGAGGUGGAGACAGAAUUGAGAAGAUUCAGUGACAACUGACCGUGGGAAAGGGUGUGAGAUGUGGGAAAGACGACGGCACUUUUGUACCAAGACGACCAUCCACAGAGCCAGGAAAUUCCCAGGUACAAGGAUGCCUCCCAUGGAAGACCUGUUUCUCGCUGUGUUCUCCAACAAGUCCUCAUUCUGGGGAUUCCGAGCAGGAAAUCUGCCUCCACUGCGAAGGGUCAUUCUGAAAAGAUUUACUCCGAUGAGAGGUUUUUGUUUUUUUUUUUUUUAACUUUUCCUGGUCAUUGAUUUGGAAGAGUUUUCUGUAAUAAAAAUAUUUUUCUAAGGAUUUCAGAAAAGCCAGCGAUGCAGGCCACCCCACUGAGCCUCAGAACUGGCAGGGAGCGGGGAGCCCAGCACCACCUCCCUUGUUGCUCAGGGACUUGCCUGACAUCGCGCACGGCAAGGACGGCAAAGCAGGAGCCCAGGAGACACCGCAAGCUCCUCUCUUCCUAGGGACAGAGGCUGGCCCUGGGGACCAGAUACCAUCCAGAUACACGGAGAGAAAGGCCCCCAAGUAGGAGGUGAGUGGGUAGGCUGACAGGUAGGCACUUAAGUAGUUAACUGUAAGCAAGAGUGGCUGCAAAUAAUACAUCUAUGGUUUUAACUGUUUUUAAAAUGGAGAAAAGGAGAAAAAACAGCUUCUGAUAGAAAGGCAUUUUGGGGGAGUUCCUGUUUUGGCUCAGUGGUAACGAACCCGACUAGUAUCCAGAGGACGUGGGUUCAACCCCUGGCCUCGCUCAGUGGGUUAAAGAUCCAGCGUCGCCAUGAGCUGUGGUGAAGGUUGCAGACUUGGCUCGGAUCCUGCAUUGCUGUGGCUGUGCUGUAGGCCAGUGGCUCUGAUUUGACCCCUAGCCUGGGAACCUCCAUGUGCCUUGGUGCAGCCCUUUAAAAAAAAAAAAAAAAA
Molecule: long non-coding RNA, 1213 nt
Filed under: Sus scrofa (pig)
Lineage: Eukaryota; Metazoa; Chordata; Mammalia; Artiodactyla; Suidae
Description: lncRNA (ENSSSCG00055000002.1)
Source: RNAcentral